RNAcentral lists this ribosomal RNA (440 nucleotides) under uncultured bacterium. Its description in RNAcentral is "bacterial SSU rRNA". It matches the Rfam family "Bacterial small subunit ribosomal RNA", at positions 338 to 796 of the family's 1533-position model. The record is from RNAcentral.
CCUACGGGAGGCUGCAGUGGGGAAUAUUUCACAAUGGGGGAAACCCUGAUGCAGCAUCGCCUCGUGUGCGAUGCAGGCCUUCGGGUGGGAAAUCGCUGUCCUACGGGAAGAAUACUCUCGGUGCCUUAGGAGCAAGCCCCGGCCACUUACGUUCCAGCACCCGCGGUAAUACGAAGGGGGCUAGCGUUAUCCGGUAUUACUGGCCGUAAAGGCUGCGUAGGCGGACCUUCAACUACGAGGUGUAAGGCUACGGCUCAACCUUAGUAAGCCUUUGAAACUGUAGGGCUUAGGUCCAGGACCUGAGAGUGGAAUUCCCAGUGUGGCGGUGAGAUGCGUAGAUAUGGGAGGGACCCCCAUCUGCGAAGGCGGCUAUCUGGUGUGUAACUGACGCUGAGGCACUAAAGCGUGCAGAGCGAACAGGAUUAUAUACCGGUGUAGGC